GACGAACGCUGGCGGCAUGCCUAAUACAUGCAAGUCGAGCGAACAGAUGAAGUGCUUGCACUUCUGACGUUAGCGGCGAACGGGUGAGUAACACGUAAGGAAUCUACUUAUAAGCGGGGGAUAACAUUCGGAAACGGGUGCUAAUACCGCAUAAUAUCUUCUUCCGCAUGGACGAAGAUUGAAAGAUGGCUCUGCUGUCUCUUAUAGAUGACCUUGCGGUGCAUUAGUUAGUUGGUGGGGUAACGGCCUACCAAGACGAUGAUGCAUAGCCGACCUGAGAGGGUGAUCAGCCACAUUGGGACUGAGACACGGCCCAAACUCCUACGGGAGGCAGCAGUAGGGAAUCUUGCACAAUGGGCGAAAGCCUGACGGAGCAAUGCCGCGUGAGUGAAGAAGGCCUUCGGGUCGUAAAACUCUGUUAUAAGAGAAGAACAAAAUGUAGAGUAACUGCUACAGUCUUGACGGUAUCUUAUCAGAAAGCCACGGCUAACUACGUGCCAGCCGCCGCAGUAA
RNAcentral lists this ribosomal RNA (513 nucleotides) under uncultured bacterium. RNAcentral's name for it is "partial 16S ribosomal RNA". It matches the Rfam family "Bacterial small subunit ribosomal RNA", at positions 28 to 523 of the family's 1533-position model. The record is from RNAcentral.